GAUGAACGCUAGCGGCAGGCCUAAUACAUGCAAGUCGAACGAGAUUGAGGAGCUUGCUCCUCAUGAAAGUGGCGCACGGGUGCGUAACGCGUAUGCAAUCUACCUUAAUCAGGGGGAUAGCCCGGAGAAAUCCGGAUUAAUACCGCAUAACAUUAUUGAAUGGCAUCAUUUAAUAAUCAAACAUUUAUGGGAUUAAGAUG
This 200-nucleotide ribosomal RNA is filed under the name uncultured bacterium. Its description in RNAcentral is "partial 16S ribosomal RNA". It matches the Rfam family "Bacterial small subunit ribosomal RNA", at positions 28 to 227 of the family's 1533-position model. The record is from RNAcentral.